CUGGGGAACUUGAGUGCAGAAGAGGAGAGUGGAAUUCCACGUGUAGCGGUGAAAUGCUAUAGAGAUGUGGAGGAACACCAGUGGCGAAGGCGACUCUCUGGUCUGUAACUGACGCUGAGGAGCGAAAGCGUGGGGAGCGAACAGGAUUAGAUACCCUGGUAGUCCACGCCGUAAACGAUGAGUGCUAAGUGUUAGGGGGUUUCCGCCCCUUAGUGCUGCAGCUAACGCAUUAAGCACUCCGCCUGGGGAGUACGGUCGCAAGACUGAAACUCAAAGGAAUUGACGGGGGCCCGCACAAGCGGUGGAGCAUGUGGUUUAAUUCGAAGCAACGCGAAGAACCUUACCAGGUCUUGACAUCCUCUGACAAUCCUAGAGAUAGGACGUCCCCUUCGGGGGCAGAGUGACAGGUGGUGCAUGGUUGUCGUCAGCUCGUGUCGUGAGAUGUUGGGUUAAGUCCCGCAACGAGCGCAACCCUUGAUCUUAGUUGCCAGCAUUCAGUUGGGCACUCUAAGGUGACUGCCGGUGACAAACCGGAGGAAGGUGGGGAUGACGUCAAAUCAUCAUGCCCCUUAUGACCUGGGCUACACACGUGCUACAAUGGACAGAACAAAGGGCAGCGAAACCGCGAGGUUAAGCCAAUCCCACAAAUCUGUUCUCAGUUCGGAUCGCAGUCUGCAACUCGACUGCGUGAAGCUGGAAUCGCUAGUAAUC
RNAcentral lists this ribosomal RNA (711 nucleotides) under Bacillus sp. T052-8. RNAcentral's name for it is "bacterial SSU rRNA". It matches the Rfam family "Bacterial small subunit ribosomal RNA", at positions 633 to 1343 of the family's 1533-position model. Lineage: Bacteria; Bacillati; Bacillota; Bacilli; Caryophanales; Bacillaceae. The record is from RNAcentral.